GACGAACGCUGGCGGCGUGCCUAAUACAUGCAAGUAGAACGCUGAAGAGAGGAGCUUGCUCUUCUUGGAUGAGUUGCGAACGGGUGAGUAACGCGUAGGUAACCUGCCUUGUAGCGGGGGAUAACUAUUGGAAACGAUAGCUAAUACCGCAUAACAAUGGAUGACCCAUGUCAUUUAUUUGAAAGGGGCAAAUGCUCCACUACAAGAUGGACCUGCGUUGUAUUAGCUAGUAGGUGAGGUAACGGCUCACCUAGGCGACGAUACAUAGCCGACCUGAGAGGGUGAUCGGCCAAACUGGGACUGAGACACGGGCCAGACUCCUACGGGAGGCAGCAGUAGGGAAUCUUCGGCAAUGGGGGCAACCCUGACCGAGCAACGCCGCGUGAGUGAAGAAGGUUUUCGGAUCGUAAAGCUCUGUUGUAAGUCAAGAACGAGUGUGAGAGUGGAAAGUUCACACUGUGACGGUAGCUUACCAGAAAUGGACGGCUAACUACGUG
RNAcentral lists this ribosomal RNA (497 nucleotides) under uncultured bacterium. Its description in RNAcentral is "partial 16S ribosomal RNA". It matches the Rfam family "Bacterial small subunit ribosomal RNA", at positions 28 to 507 of the family's 1533-position model. The record is from RNAcentral.